GGGGUGUACAGAAAAAGGAUUACCAAAGAGACACUUUUCCACCAUAUUGUGUUGGAAUGGGUUAUAUCCUUAGUUCAGAUGUCAUUCAUAAUAUGAUGAUGAUUGUACCCAAGCAACCAUUGUUUAAACUGGAAGACGUCUAUAUUGGUCUGAUUCUAGAAAAAUUAAAGAUAGUGCCAGUAGAUAGACGUAAAUAUUUACAGGUACAUUAUGAUUACUCCUGGGAUGUUUGCCAACAUAAAGACAUGUUGUUAAGUCUAGAAGCAAAUCCAAAACAAAUGCUGCAAUUAUAUUUGAAGUUUUCAAAAUUAGGGAAAUGUGGUCCUGUGGAUUAUGUUAAUUUUAAAAAGGUGUAGUUUGUAUUAUUAUUGUAAGGUAUUUGAAAAUUAAUAUAAUUUUAAGCAAUUAUUGGAUGAGG
Molecule: non-coding RNA, 418 nt
Organism: Paramuricea clavata
Lineage: Eukaryota; Metazoa; Cnidaria; Anthozoa; Malacalcyonacea; Plexauridae
Source: the annotation of a GenBank genome assembly